ACGAUCCCUAGCUGGUCUGAGAGGAUGACCAGCCACACUGGAACUGAGACACGGUCCAGACUCCUACGGGAGGCAGCAGUGGGGAAUAUUGCACAAUGGGCGCAAGCCUGAUGCAGCCAUGCCGCGUGUAUGAAGAAGGCCUUCGGGUUGUAAAGUACUUUCAGCGGGGAGGAAGGUGUUGUGGUUAAUAACCGCAGCAAUUGACGUUACCCGCAGAAGAAGCACCGGCUAACUCCGUGCCAGCAGCCGCGGUAAUACGGAGGGUGCAAGCGUUAAUCGGAAUUACUGGGCGUAAAGCGCACGCAGGCGGUCUGUCAAGUCGGAUGUGAAAUCCCCGGGCUCAACCUGGGAACUGCAUUCGAAACUGGCAGGCUAGAGUCUUGUAGAGGGGGGUAGAAUUCCAGGUGUAGCGGUGAAAUGCGUAGAGAUCUGGAGGAAUACCGGUGGCGAAGGCGGCCCCCUGGACAAAGACUGACGCUCAGGUGCGAAAGCGUGGGGAGCAAACAGGAGUAGAUACCCUGGUAGUCCACGCCGUAAACGAUGUCGACAUUGGAGGAUGUGCCCCUUGAGGCGUGCCUUCCCCCAGCUAACACAGUUAAAUCCACCCCCCUGAGGGAGUACAGCCCGCAAGGUUAAAACUCGAAUGAUAUUGACUGGGGGCCGGCACAAGCGGUGGGAGCAUGAUGUUGUAGUUUUUAUGCAGCCGCGAAAGAGCCUUUACCCUCUUCUUUGUCAUCCCGGAUGACCUUAGCACGAAGAUACGAUUGGUUGGCCUUCCUGCUACUGCGGAAAACUAGGUAGCUGGGGUGGUUUGAUCAGCCACCCUCCAUCCUUCCUGACUUGGUUGGGAUUAUUUUUUCCUUCCAACCGACCGGGGAACCCACUUAUCCAACCUUAAUUGGCCAUUUGGGUGCCGGACCAAGGCACCCUCACCAGAAUAAAAUUGACAGUUAAAAUCCGCCUCGGAUAGCCAUCCGUCGGGGAAUAAAAGGGUGCGGGGGCAUUCUGUUUUUCCCUUUUUUCCGGGGGUGGGGUCUUUCCGACACCCCUCCUCCCCCCAAAACACCCGUGGGUGGCGAGAAAAUUUGAGCGCCGGAAAAAGGGGGGACAGCCCACCUAUACCCCCAAUUCCCCAAAAAUAAACCUCCUAGACCCGUGCCCCAUUUGGGGGGGAGGGGGUUGCGGGGAAAAUAGGGGAGA
RNAcentral lists this ribosomal RNA (1200 nucleotides) under Pectobacterium carotovorum subsp. carotovorum. RNAcentral's name for it is "bacterial SSU rRNA". The stretch from base 1 to 780 matches the Rfam family "Bacterial small subunit ribosomal RNA", at positions 276 to 1533 of the family's 1533-position model. The record is from RNAcentral. Lineage: Bacteria; Pseudomonadati; Pseudomonadota; Gammaproteobacteria; Enterobacterales; Pectobacteriaceae.